GCUUCCGAAUUGAACUGUGGCGUUCAUCGCCGCUUUCCUGAAAAGGAUAGAUUCAGAAGUUCUU
RNAcentral lists this non-coding RNA (64 nucleotides) under unclassified sequences. RNAcentral describes it as "DUF3800-IX RNA". It matches the Rfam family "DUF3800-IX RNA". Rfam says of the family: Actinobacteria, Firmicutes (1 example), Nitrospirae, Proteobacteria, Verrucomicrobia (1 example). The record is from Rfam by way of RNAcentral.